This 118-nucleotide ribosomal RNA is filed under the name Microcebus murinus (gray mouse lemur). Lineage: Eukaryota; Metazoa; Chordata; Mammalia; Primates; Cheirogaleidae. The record is from RNAcentral.
UCUAUGGCCUUACCACCUGAACAUGCCUGCUCUCGUCUGAUCUCAGACUCUAAGCAGGUUUGGCCCUGGCUAGCAUUUGGAUGUCAGAACAAGAUUUCUUUUUAGGGUGAGAAUAGAG